AUUGAACGCUGGCGGCAGGCCUAACACAUGCAAGUCGAACGAGUGGCGGACGGGUGAGUAAUGUCUGGGACACUGCCUGAUGGAGGGGGAUCACUACUGGAAACGGUUGCUACUACCGUAUACAUUCAGAUGUGCCCAGAUGGGUUUGGCUUGUUGGUGGGGGAACGGCUCACCACGGCGCCGAUCCCUAGCUGGUCUGAGAGGAUGACCAGCAACACUGGAACUGAGACACGGUCCAGACUCCUACGGGAGGAAGCAGUGGGGAAUAUUGGACAAUGGGCGCAAGCCUGAUGCAGCCAUGCCGCGUGUGUGAAGAAGGCCUUCGGGUUGUAAAGUACUUUAAGCGGGGAGGCGUUACCCGCAGAAGAAGCACCGGCUAACUCCGUGCCAGCAGCCGCGGUAAUUC
Molecule: ribosomal RNA, 406 nt
Filed under: uncultured bacterium
Lineage: Bacteria
Description: partial 16S ribosomal RNA
Rfam family: Bacterial small subunit ribosomal RNA
Source: RNAcentral